This 454-nucleotide ribosomal RNA is filed under the name uncultured organism. RNAcentral's name for it is "partial 16S ribosomal RNA". It matches the Rfam family "Bacterial small subunit ribosomal RNA", at positions 329 to 799 of the family's 1533-position model. The record is from RNAcentral.
ACGUACACUCCUGCGGGAGGCAACAGUGGGGAAUAUUGGACAAUGGGCGCAAGCCUGAUCCAGCCAUGCCGCGUGAGUGAUGAAGGCCCUAGGGUUGUAAAGCUCUUUCACCGGUGAAGAUAAUGACGGUAACCGGAGAAGAAGCCCCGGCUAACUUCGUGCCAGCAGCCGCGGUAAUACGAAGGGGGCUAGCGUUGUUCGGAUUUACUGGGCGUAAAGCGCACGUAGGCGGACUAUUAAGUCAGGGGUGAAAUCCCGGGGCUCAACCCCGGAACUGCCUUUGAUACUGGUAGUCUUGAGUUCGAGAGAGGUGAGUGGAAUUCCGAGUGUAGAGGUGAAAUUCGUAGAUAUUCGGAGGAACACCAGUGGCGAAGGCGGCUCACUGGCUCGAUACUGACGCUGAGGUGCGAAAGCGUGGGGAGCAAACAGGAUUAGAAACCCGUGUAGUCCCAUG